AAAGUAACAUUUUAAUGUGGAGCUUAGUAAUCGCCUAGAAUGAAUGGCGAUAUACAGUUUACUGCACCCUCCAAUGCGCAAAAGAGGCAGGAUGGCAAAAUUCAUGACUAUCUUAAGCAAGCCAGGAGACUGCUAAAAAGCCACCCCGGCUUUUCCUCCUCCACCAGCUGAGGCACCCGGUCUCCCGGUUUCCACACGCGUUCAGAGACACAAACUCACCCGCCGCUGAGGAAACGGUACUGCCUUCGCGACCUUCUGGGAUCCAGGUUACGAGUGCGCUCCACUGGUUCGAGAUUUCUGCCCGUCGCUCGCCAGGGAGACUGAGUGCCCAAGCGCCUACUCGCACAGGCCGCAAAUACAGCCGCGCUGCGCGGCGAGCUGAUGGAGGUCUUCCUCUUGCCCGGCGUGCACUGCGGCCGGGGGCGGGGAGCGCGGAACCAUAGAGAAGAACGUAUAUAGAUCGUCUCCGCUGUUGGCUCUGACUCACCAAGCCGAGACGAAUAACCAUAGAGAAGCAGCGUCUAGCGGUUACUAGAAAGGCCCGAACUGUAAAUUAUGACCCACCAUGUUUGAUUGGAGCCGACUGAAUCUUACGACUACGGGACGCCAUCUUGAGGUCAAGGUUCCGGCUGGGCACGGCGCGAGGAGUGUUAGAGGCUUUCUCACUUUUCGUAGUUUUUCGGGGGGUGGAACCUUGCUUUGUGAUUCCUUGAGGUUCGAGGAACUGAUAACUGGGCGCGAUCUGCAACCUUAGUGUUAAACCCCAAGUGCUGUUAUAACAACUACUCGAGAUCAACAAAUAAUUGGCAAAGGCUGUGGAGGUUUUUUGAAAAGCAAAAGCUUAUGCGUAGUUGUAGGGCCAAAGAGGUGGCUAGAAGAUGUUUGGAAAAACGUGAAAAGUCCUGUAAUACUAGUUAACACAGCUUUCGUUCUGUAAUCUAAACGUGCUAAAAGAACUUAGCUUAAGUUAAUGGAAAUGAAUAAAAUUAAUCAUAAAUGA
Homo sapiens (human) is the source of this 1000-nucleotide long non-coding RNA. Ensembl annotates it as RBM25 antisense RNA 1. Its record names the gene RBM25-AS1. The record is from Ensembl. NCBI's taxonomy places the organism in Eukaryota, Metazoa, Chordata, Mammalia, Primates, Hominidae.